AUUGAACGCUGGCGGCAGGCUUAACACAUGCAAGUCGAGCGGAGAUGAGGUGCUUGCACCUUAUCUUAGCGGCGGACGGGUGAGUAAUGCUUAGGAAUCUACCAUUUAGUGGGGGACAACAUUCCGAAAGGAAUGCUAAUACCGCAUACGUCCUACGGGAGAAAGCAGGGGAUCUUCGGACCUUGCGCUAAAUGAUGAGCCUAAGUCGGAUUAGCUAGUUGGUGGGGUAAAGGCCUACCAAGGCGACGAUCUGUAGCGGGUCUGAGAGGAUGAUCCGCCACACUGGGACUGAGACACGGCCCAGACUCCUACGGGAGGCAGCAGUGGGGAAUAUUGGACAAUGGGGGGAACCCUGAUCCAGCCAUGCCGCGUGUGUGAAGAAGGCCUUAUGGUUGUAAAGCACUCUAAGCGAGGAGGAGGCUACUGAGACUAAUACUCUUGGAUAGUGGACGUUACUCGCAGAAUAAGCACCGGCUAACUCUGUG
Molecule: ribosomal RNA, 485 nt
Filed under: uncultured bacterium
Lineage: Bacteria
Description: partial 16S ribosomal RNA
Rfam family: Bacterial small subunit ribosomal RNA
Source: RNAcentral